AGUCUGAACCUGGCUUAGGGAGAACGCUGGCGGCGUGCUUAACACAUGCAAGUUCAACGAAGAAACCCAGCUUUGUAGGUGGGUUAGUGGCGAACGGGUGAGUAAUACGUGAGUGACCUACCUUUUGACUCUGGGAUAAGCCUGGGAAACUGGGUUCUAAUACCGGAUACCACCAAUCUCCGCAUGGGGUGUUUGGUGGAAAGCGUUAUGGAGUGGUUUUUAGAUGGGCUCACGGCCUAUCAGCUUGUUGGUGAGGUAAUGGCUUACCAAGGCGACGACGGGUAGCCGGCCUGAGAGGGUGACCGGCCACACUGGGACUGAGACACGGCCCAGACUCCUACGGGAGGCAGCAGUGGGGAAUAUUGCACAAUGGGCGCAAGCCUGAUGCAGCGACGCCGCGUGAGGGAUGACGGCCUUCGGGUUUGUAAACCUCUGUUAGCAUCGAAGAAGCGAAAGUUGACGGUAGGUGCAGAGAAAGCGCCGGCUAACUACGUGCCAGCAGCCGCGGUAAUACGUAGGGCGCGAGCGUUGUCCGGAAUUAUUGGGCGUAAAGAGCUUGUAGGCGGUUGGUCGCGUCUGCUGUGAAAGGCUGGGGCUUAACCCUGGUUUUGCAGUGGGUACGGGCUAACUAGAGUGCAGUAGGGGAGACUGGAAUUCCUGGUGUAGCGGUGGAAUGCGCAGAUAUCAGGAGGAACACCGAUGGCGAAGGCAGGUCUCUGGGCUGUAACUGACGCUGAGAAGCGAAAGCAUGGGGAGCGAACAGGAUUAGAUACCCUGGUAGUCCAUGCCGUAAACGUUGGGCACUAGGUGUGGGGGACAUUCCACGUUUUCCGCGCCGUAGCUAACGCAUUAAGUGCCCCGCCUGGGGAGUACGGCCGCAAGGCUAAAACUCAAAGAAAUUGACGGGGGCCCGCACAAGCGGCGGAGCAUGCGGAUUAAUUCGAUGCAACGCGAAGAACCUUACCAAGGCUUGACAUAUACUGGACUGCGUCAGAGAUGGCGUUUCCCUUCGGGGCUGGUAUACAGGUGGUGCAUGGCUGUCGUCAGCUCGUGUCGUGAGAUGUUGGGUUAAGUCCCGCAACGAGCGCAACCCUCGUUCUAUGUUGCCAGCACGUGAUGGUGGGGACUCAUAGGAGACUGCCGGGGUCAACUCGGAGGAAGGUGGGGAUGACGUCAAAUCAUCAUGCCCCUUAUGUCUUGGGCUUCACGCAUGCUACAAUGGCCGGUACAGAGGGUUGCGAUACUGUGAGGUGGAGCUAAUCCCUAAAAGCCGGUCUCAGUUCGGAUUGGGGUCUGCAAACUCGACCCCAUGAAGUCGGAGUCGCUAGUAAUCGCAGAUCAGCAAACGCUGCGGUGAAUACGUUUCCCGAGCCUUGUCCCCACCGCCC
Molecule: ribosomal RNA, 1388 nt
Filed under: uncultured bacterium
Lineage: Bacteria
Description: bacterial SSU rRNA
Rfam family: Bacterial small subunit ribosomal RNA
Source: RNAcentral